UUAUUAUGUUAUAAUAAUGAUUACAUUGGUUACAUUGUUGUUUGAUAAGAUCGUCAAGACACCGGGAGUCCCGAAAGACUCAAGGGUCCGACUGUGCACAGGUGUUUAUGGAUAUGAAGGGUGAGAGGCAGAGCCUACUCAGAAUUCAUUAAUGAUCCUUCCGCAGGUUCACCUACGGAAA
RNAcentral lists this unclassified non-coding RNA (181 nucleotides) under uncultured fungus. RNAcentral describes it as "sequence contains ITS1". The record is from RNAcentral. Lineage: Eukaryota; Fungi.